This 1119-nucleotide long non-coding RNA is filed under the name Homo sapiens (human). Its description in RNAcentral is "HSALNT0354228". The record is from RNAcentral. Lineage: Eukaryota; Metazoa; Chordata; Mammalia; Primates; Hominidae.
CCCGGCUGCACUAAAAAUAGAAAAAUUAGCUGGGCAUAGUUUCAUGCACCUUUAGUCCCAGCUACUCAGGCUGAGGCAGAAGAACUGCUUGAACCUGGGAGGCAGAAAUUGCAGUGAGCCGAGAGCCACUCCACUCCAACCUGGGCAACAGAGCAAGACUCCGUCUCCAGAAAAAAAAGAGAGAGAAGGGGGUUAGGAUUGGAAUGGGACACACAAAAAGGACUUCUAAGGUAAGGAGCUGGUUGAAUUCAAGCAUGCAAAACCCAUGGGUAUAGAAGGCCAACUGUAAUAAUUUUGUCUGCUCCAUGAAGAAUAACGAAUAGACUCAAAGGGAUAAUCAAAGAAGCAGCAAGACCACUUAGGAAGCUCCUGCAAUCAUCCAGGAGAUUAUUUUAAACUUGAUGGAUCAAUCCUCUUAAGGAUAACGAAUUUGGAUUUGCAAGAAUUCAAGGCAAUUCCGGCUAAAAGGCCACCAGCUAUGCAAGGCCACAAGUUAUGCACUAUAUGAUUAACUACCUUUGUUUUGCUCUUAUGAGCCCACUUAUAAAAACCUCGCUCUGUCUUUAUUCAAGGCCCAGCUUUUUGGAGGUAAAUCCACUGAGCCGGUGUGUACCUCACAAUAAAUAUCCUCCUGUAUUCACGCAUACUGGUCUCUCUAAUCCUCUGCGUCCCGCAACAAGCUGAGAGCGCGCCACUGCACUUGCAGUCUUGCACAUAGCAAGACUAUGUCUCAACAACAACAAAAAAGGGUCUCGCUCUGUUGCCAAGGCUGGAGUGCAGUGGAGUGAUCUCGGCUCACAGCAACCUCAGCAUCCUGAGUUCAAGCACGUCUCAUGCCUCAGCCUCCCAAGUAGCUGGGAUUAUAGGCACGCGCCACCACACCAGGCUAAUUUUUGUAUUUUUUUUUUAUACUUUAAGUUUUAGGGUACAUGUGCACAUUGUGCAGGUUAGUUACAUAUGUAUACAUGUGCCAUGCUGGCGCACUGAACCCACUAACUCGUCAUCUAGCAUUAGGUAUAUCGCCUGAUGCUAUCCCUCCCCCCUCCCCCUACCCCACAACAGUCCCCAGAGUGUGAUAUUCCCCUUUCUGUGUCCAUGUGAUCUCAUUGUUCAAUUCCC